RNAcentral lists this ribosomal RNA (497 nucleotides) under uncultured bacterium. RNAcentral's name for it is "partial 16S ribosomal RNA". It matches the Rfam family "Bacterial small subunit ribosomal RNA", at positions 28 to 507 of the family's 1533-position model. The record is from RNAcentral.
GAUGAACGCUGGCGGCGUGCCUAAUACAUGCAAGUCGGGCGAACAGAUAAGGAGCUUGCUCCUUUGAAGUUAGCGGCGGACGGGUGAGUAACACGUGGGUAACCUACCUAUAAGACUGGGAUAACUUCGGGAAACCGGAGCUAAUACCGGAUAACAUUUAGAACCGCAUGGUUCUAAAGUGAAAGAUGGUUUUGCUAUCACUUAUAGAUGGACCCGCGCCGUAUUAGCUAGUUGGUAAGGUAACGGCUUACCAAGGCGACGAUACGUAGCCGACCUGAGAGGGUGAUCGGCCACACUGGAACUGAGACACGGUCCAGACUCCUACGGGAGGCAGCAGUAGGGAAUCUUCCGCAAUGGGCGAAAGCCUGACGGAGCAACGCCGCGUGAGUGAUGAAGGGUUUCGGCUCGUAAAACUCUGUUAUUAGGGAAGAACAAAUGUGUAAGUAACUGUGCACAUCUUGACGGUACCUAAUCAGAAAGCCACGGCUAACUACGUG